AAUCAACGCUGGCGGCGUGCCUAACACAUGCAAGUCGAACGCGAAAGUGGAGCAAUCCAUGAGUAGAGUGGCAAACGGGUGAGUAACGCGUGGGCGACCUACCUUCGAGUGGGGGAUAACCUUCCGAAAGGAGGGCUAAUACCGCAUGACAUCCCGUGUUUGGAUACACGGACAUCAAAGCCGGGGAUCGCAAGACCUGGCGCUUGAAGAGGGGCCCGCGUCCGAUUAGCUAGUUGGUGAGGUAACGGCUCACCAAGGCUCCGAUCGGUAUCCGGCCUGAGAGGGCGGACGGACACACUGGAACUGAGACACGGUCCAGACUCCUACGGGAGGCAGCAGUGGGGAAUUGUUCGCAAUGGGCGCAGCCUGACGACGCAACGCCGCGUGGAGGA
RNAcentral lists this ribosomal RNA (392 nucleotides) under uncultured bacterium. RNAcentral's name for it is "bacterial SSU rRNA". It matches the Rfam family "Bacterial small subunit ribosomal RNA", at positions 32 to 408 of the family's 1533-position model. The record is from RNAcentral.